This 313-nucleotide long non-coding RNA is filed under the name Sorghum bicolor (sorghum). RNAcentral describes it as "long non-coding RNA (SBIC_LNC011072)". Lineage: Eukaryota; Viridiplantae; Streptophyta; Magnoliopsida; Poales; Poaceae. The record is from RNAcentral.
CUUUCUCCCUUCCAUUACUAUUACUUAUCUAUUGUUUUUUCUUUUCUUUUAAGUGUUUAUACAUGUAUUAGUCACCGCCUAGCAAAACACCUAGGAACGCCUAGGCGCGAUUACUCCCGACUAGGCGCUAGGCGGAGGGUCAGCGCCUAGAUUCCGCCUAGCGCCUAGCUGAUCUUUGGCAGUGCUGUACUAUUACAUUAAUUUGAGGACACAAUUACAGGCAUAGUCACAAGAAAAAAAUGAGCUAGUAUCUGAACUUCUGAUUUUACUGCAUUUGUCAUGUUUUGUGUAAGUCUAAUUUUACUGCUUGGAU